GGGCUUGACAUCCCACGAACCUGCCUGAAAGGGCGGGGUGCCCGCAAGGGAGCGCGGAGACAGGUGGUGCAUGGCUGUCGUCAGCUCGUGUCGUGAGAUGUUGGGUUAAGUCCCGCAACGAGCGCAACCCUCACCCCUAGUUGCCACCGGGUCAUGCCGAGCACUCAAGGGGAACUGCCAGCGUCAAGCUGGAGGAAGGCGGGGAUGACGUCAAGUCAUCAUGCCCCUUACGCCCUGGGCUACACACGUGCUACAAUGGCCGGUACAAAGGGAUGCGAGACCGCGAGGUGGAGCUAACCCCAAAAAGCUGGUCUAAGUUCAGAUUGCAGUCUGCAACUCGACUGCAUGAAGGAGGAAUCGCUAGUAAUCGCGCAUCAGCCCGGCGCGGUGAAUACGUUCCCGGGCCUUGUACACACCGCCCGUCACACCACGAAAGCUGUCUGUACUCGAAGUCGCUGAG
Molecule: ribosomal RNA, 460 nt
Filed under: NC10 bacterium enrichment culture clone SBR 4-16
Lineage: Bacteria; Methylomirabilota (SeqCode)
Description: bacterial SSU rRNA
Rfam family: Bacterial small subunit ribosomal RNA
Source: RNAcentral